Molecule: ribosomal RNA, 836 nt
Filed under: Janthinobacterium lividum
Lineage: Bacteria; Pseudomonadati; Pseudomonadota; Betaproteobacteria; Burkholderiales; Oxalobacteraceae
Description: bacterial SSU rRNA
Rfam family: Bacterial small subunit ribosomal RNA
Source: RNAcentral
GGCAGCACGGAGCUUGCUCUGGUGGCGAGUGGCGAACGGGUGAGUAAUAUAUCGGAACGUACCCUAGAGUGGGGGAUAACGUAGCGAAAGUUACGCUAAUACCGCAUACGAUCUAAGGAUGAAAGUGGGGGAUCGCAAGACCUCAUGCUCGUGGAGCGGCCGAUAUCUGAUUAGCUAGUUGGUAGGGUAAAAGCCUACCAAGGCAUCGAUCAGUAGCUGGUCUGAGAGGACGACCAGCCACACUGGAACUGAGACACGGUCCAGACUCCUACGGGAGGCAGCAGUGGGGAAUUUUGGACAAUGGGCGAAAGCCUGAUCCAGCAAUGCCGCGUGAGUGAAGAAGGCCUUCGGGUUGUAAAGCUCUUUUGUCAGGGAAGAAACGGUGAGAGCUAAUAUCUCUUGCUAAUGACGGUACCUGAAGAAUAAGCACCGGCUAACUACGUGCCAGCAGCCGCGGUAAUACGUAGGGUGCAAGCGUUAAUCGGAAUUACUGGGCGUAAAGCGUGCGCAGGCGGUUUUGUAAGUCUGAUGUGAAAUCCCCGGGCUCAACCUGGGAAUUGCAUUGGAGACUGCAAGGCUAGAAUCUGGCAGAGGGGGGUAGAAUUCCACGUGUAGCAGUGAAAUGCGUAGAUAUGUGGAGGAACACCGAUGGCGAAGGCAGCCCCCUGGGUCAAGAUUGACGCUCAUGCACGAAAGCGUGGGGAGCAAACACGAUUAGAUACCCUGGUAGUCCACGCCCUAAACGAUGUCUACUAGUUGUCGGGUCUUAAUUGACUUGGUAACGCAGCUAACGCGUGAAGUAGACCGCCUGGGGGAGUACGGUCGCAAGAUUAAAA